CAGGUACUGAAUGACCUUUUUGGUAUUUUCUGUCUUGCCAGCACCAGAUUCACCUCUGAGGGGAAAGAAAAUAACACAAAAGAAGAUACCUCUGGCUCUGAUGAUUAUAUGGACAAAAAUGUUUUAUACUGUCUUGCUCAGCAGUCAAAAAGGGUGGUAAAGUGGGUGUGGAUGUAACAAACGAUUUCUUUCAACUGAGCUAGUGCUGUGAGGAGAACAACAAUCUAAGUUGGACCUCUUCUUCUUUGGAUCUAAACUAAAAUUGAUUUAAAAAAAUAAAAGAACAAUACAUUCAAAAAUCCCAGAGAUAUUUAUCAGCUCUUUUGAGUCUGAAACUUUUUAGCUGGAUCCACUGCAGUUAUGCUUCUUUUCCUGAUUAGGAAAUGCAAGAGUUAAUUUUCCCUAUAAAAGAACCAGUGAUAAAUGGACAUGAAAAUAUGGAGAAGUGCUGGACAGAACUUUCAAUACAGAAUGACAUUGAUGUAAACCUUAGGAAACCAGAAACAAUUCCUGCCUGAGGUCUAUCUACUGAAGUAGGUUUGGUACUGGAGUUCAAGCUUACUGAAGACUGAGAGACAACUUUUAUCAAGAGCACAAGUAAUUUCUUCGGGAGAUCUUCCAAAGAAUAAAAUAAAACAAGAUACUUUGUAGAUUUUACAAGAUCAUGUCAACAAGUAUGAAGAUGACAGAAGGCAGCAGAAUUACUCCUCCUUACUGGAGCAGUGUCUCAGCUUCACCAUCACUGGAAGCCGGCAGUGCUGCAGGAAGGAGUCAGCUACCCACCUCCAGCUCCUCUUCUCUGGCCUGCUCUGCCUCCUCCUUGCUGCUGUGACCAGCAUUCACAGACCACACUGUGCACCAGGAGGAGGGGCACCCACUUCAGAACAGCAAAAAGCCAGGGAUGGCUUUCACCUGGAGCAGUUUUGCAUCAUGGCUGCAUGAAGAAUCCUGCUGGCAGUGCAGGAGUUGGGAUGGGGAUCAAGCCCUUUGUAUGGAGCUACUUCAUCCCAAACACAGGAAAAAGCAGAGGGUGCAGGAGUAGGGGGAAAUGUUUUAUGACUGCAGUCUCUAAGUGUAGCAGUAAUCAGCUACAGCUGGCCUGUAAACACAGCCAGGAAGGCCCAGUUCAGUGUAGUAACUCCUGGGGACACACACACACACACACACACAAAUGCUCUUGUAGAAUUCUCAGUCUUUGAGAUUAAAGAAAAUUAAAGUUUAUUCUUGUUCUGGCUGGAAAUGAGCAUCCACAGCUGUGCCUGGGCAACGAUCAUACUGCAUUAGUGACAUGGUAUCCAGCAGAUUCAACAAGACACCCAGCACUCCUGGCUGAGCAUGAGACAGCAUGACUGUGAUUUGUAAAAGGGCUUUAGGUGCUCAGAAGCACUUGAAACAAGUGGAAAUUUUAUCUUUGCCCAGCCAACAUCUUUGAUAAUUCCUAUGUCCUGUGAGAUGUCAGAUUUUCUGCAUAUUUGGAAGAAAAUCUUAUUAUCUGAUUGCUGAUAGCUGUGGCUAAGUGUUUUUAUCAGAACAGCUUUGACAGGACUUAAACAUCACCCCUAAUGAAUACAUGAACCAAGUAAGUCUCUGAAGCAGAGGAGAAAUGCAGUGUGCACAGCUCUUGUUUUCUGUUGGAUGUUUGUGCCAACACAGGGGAGGGUGAGAAUGUGGAGGGCUGUGAUUCCCAGAUGGUGAACCUGCAGCAGGACCAGGGAUCUGCAGACACAGAGACUUGGUUCACCAAAAGAUAAAGGAUCCCUGAGACAUCUGAACAAGCUGAUUGCUCUGGGCCAAGUGGCCCUGGUCAUGAAGUACCAGAAUAUAACUCCUCAGUCUCAUGAAUCUAAGACAUAUUUUACUUUGGCAAGCAGAAACUAUGCAAGUUUCCAGAUAAGGACCAGUACUGACUUUUCACAGGAAAAACAUUUAGUGCUCUGAUCCAUGUUUAUGAGUAAGAACUUUUGUUUAUAUUCCAUUUGGAAAUAUGCUCACAACCCCCUCUGAAGCUUUCUCUGCCUAUACAUGUUGCGUGCUCACACAGAACUGUGUUGACGCCCACUUUCACCACUCCAACGUGAACAGAAUUUGGCUGAAUAACCAGAGUUAUUUUGAGGGUUGGUUUUGUUUUAUGCACAAAACACGAGUCAGUUUUUACAAACAAAAGCACAGCUUUAAAAACAGCUGGGGCCCUCUUCAGAGAUGGAGAGACUCCAAAAUGACACAUGCAAGUAAAACGUGGGUGUCUUGGGCUUGUGCUGGGAGCUCUGGCCAUUCCACUCCCUGGCUGCCGUGCCAGCUGUGCAUGGUCGGGCUGGGAGGCAGUGAAAGAGCAUCCUCUUAAAGGUUCAGCUGAUCACCUACUCCCUCCUUGUUCCUUCCUAUUUGCUCUCCUCUUCCUCUCUGCUGCCAGGAAUAAUUGCAAUGGUGGCACAUGAAUAAUGAGGAAUAAAGCUUCCCCAAGAGCUGGCAGGGCCAGGAAAUUAUUCUGAGCACCAAAAGAAGUGAAUUGAUAGGAGCCUGCACUCUUGCUGCCUCCUGCCUCCAGCACCCAGCCUGGGAGGCACAGCUGAACCCAGGCUGUUCUAAGUGCAGUUAAUGGCCACAGCAAGGCAAACCAGCUCCAGUGGCUUCCCACUGCUCAGGAGAAUGUGCUGGGAGGGACAGGAGACAGUCAGAGAGAGGAGGAGUGAAAGAUAUCCCUGUGCUGCUUAGAUCAGGCUCAUCUGCGUUGAGACUAGUUUCCCGUUAGGCAGAAAGCUCUUGUAUUGUCAGGACAAAACAGUUCUAUUUCAGCAUAGGCUGCAUUCAUAUGGGUUUUUUCCUUUCCUAAAGACACAGGUCUUUUUUUGUUUCUUUUCGCCCCACCUCGUUUCUAGGGACAAGUACAGUACCCUGCACAACUGCUAAUGUUCUGCAGGAGCCAAGAGCUUCUUCCAGAGCUCCCCUCAAGGCUUGCUGCUUAAAUAAAGGAUCUGAGGGAGGAAUGCCUUCAGGGCCUGCCUGGAGCCCUGGACAGUGCUGGAUGCAGAGCACAGGGUUCAGGAGGGAAGCUGGAGUACAGAUAUGGGACUGUGACUUAAUGGGACAACCUUCUGCCAACACUUAACUGAAUCAUCCUACUGAGCACUGCUUGGAAAAAAAGAUAAUCAAAAGAUAAUCUAGGGGUGAAUCCUAGCCUUGUGACCUUCAUUUGGGAACAGGAUUGGCAGCUUUAUCAUGAGCCCUGCUAUCAAUCCCUCCUGGCCUUUCACCUUUCCCCACUGUGGAGCUUUUCAUCUGGAAAUGGAGGUACCAUCAGUUUGGGGUUUCUUUUUUCGUUGGUUGGCUUUGGUUUUUGUUUUUCUUUUCUGUAAUGCAUUCUCCAUAUAUUUCAAUCAAAUUAUCUGUAAGUGCCUCAGUUGCAAUAAGAUCUUCUCAUCUUUCUUAAUGUGAAUUAUUACAUAACUCUGACUAAACAUUUGAUUUUCUAAUAUUAAAAAGAAAUUGGCCCUAAUUAUUGCCUGUUAUAAACUGUAAAAAUCAGAAAAGAAGGAAAAAAAGGGAUAGAUUAUCUAGAAAAUACCAGCUAUUUCAAAUUCCUGUAGAUGUCACUCUAUUAACUAAAUCAGAUUCUGUAUAUUGAUUAGAAUUCACAAAUAAUCCAUAAUUUAACUAGACUUUGCACAGCUUGGAAAGCUAUCUAGCUCUUGGUUUCUCCUAAAAUUAACAUACUUAGAAGCCAACAGAUUUGCAACUAAUAAGUGUCUGUGAUUUCCAAAGCAUUGGGAUCUCUGCAUACAUCCCCACGCUGCCUUUUAUGGAGAUGUUCUGCUCAAUACUCGCCGUUCCACAAAAAUGUAAUGAUAACAAAUUCAAAACAAAUACCUUUUAGGGACUAGUGUGUCAAUUGCAAAUGAGAUAAUAAAAUUCAUUGUUUACAUCCAAGCGAACACAGCCAGAGCAGAAUCGGGCAUUAAACUGAAGUGACAACCUAAUUAGAGCUUUGUUCUCAGGGGGUUCAUCUGUUCAGCCCCUGAGUGAGUGGCUUGAGGGAAGGGGGGAACUUGAGGAGCUCAGCAAAUCAGUCCAUCCAGACAAGCCUGCUGCAAACUGCCUGUCAGGGCAAAGCUUGGAGUGAAGGACAAGGUGGGCUUGUUUUUCAACAAGUGUAUUUUAGAGAAGAUUUUACUAAGAUGUAUGUAUUAGGUAAUAAUGACAAGCCUUCUGAUUUCCCUUAUAUUGAAAAUAUCUCAUGAUGCUUCUUAAUUAUGCAAACAUAUAUGCCUUUCACAUAAAUAUCAACAUUUUUAUAGGUGUGCAUGCACACAGACCCGCGCACACACACACACACGUAUGUGAAAGAAGCCUGUGAACCUCUGGGAUGACACUGAAGCUGCUUUCUGCACUGCCAUCUACUGUCGUCUUAACUUACUUAACGGGAUUUUCUUAGAAGUUGGUUGCUUUAUUUUCCCUUUAAAAAAAAGGCAUGCCACCUUUGAAAUUCGUGUAGUUCAGUAAAUUAUCAGAUUAGUUUUGCUUAAACUUUGUUCCCAGCAUAUUAAAAACAUAUAUAUGUAAUGCUGGGGCAUUUACAUAAAAGUGUUUCCAUUCCUUCUAAUUUUUAAGCAUUUUAAGCAUUUUUCCUGUUUACAGAACAAGUUACUGAUGAACUGAUUAUUUUAUUUGGUUGCACUUUCUUUCAGCAGUCCUUAAUUAGGACUAAGAGGUUAGGAACACUUAGAGAAGAUCAGCAGCUCAGGUUACCAGGCUUUUUCAUUCCCAAACGCCCGUGUGGUGGUUACCUGCAGCAGGUACCUGUGACCGCCUGCACCGCCCUGCACCUUGCUGCCGGCUCAGAGAACGGCUCCUUCUCUGCAGCCAGUGUCUUUCAGCCUCGACCCUGCGAUGGUGGUGUUAGCAGUGACUAGAAGCAGGCUAGAACAUCUGUGCACACUGUCAGGCAUGCACAGUCUCUAUGCAUUUUAACCAGAACCCAACCAGUAACACACAAACCGGGAUAAAUCGUCUGGGCGCGUCUGAUCGGUCUGUUCCCAUGCCCAGGUUAAUUCUCUGAGUGUGUUCGCAGAGCAAUGUGAGAGUUAACUUGCCAGACUACCCAUCCCAAAGUGUGUGAGCCCCCAGCCCAGUCCCCGGCAGGGACCUCACCCCGCCGUGGUACUCACAGGUGUCCAGUUGUGGGAGCGGAGUGAGUUGGAGGUACAGCCACCAGCCGGGACAGCCCAAGUCCUUGCUGCCUUCGCAGCCUCCCUAUAUAGAGGAGGAGAAUCUUGUCAGUGGGGAGGGGCCCUGGAAACCACGUCCUGCUGGAAAAUCCUUUUGGUACCUGGCUUAAAAAACACAGCCUGAGCCAAGGACCUCGUUCCCAGCAGGGCCUAACCCUAGGCUGUGGCCCCUGCCCUGAGCCACUUUUUAGGGAAGCAGGCUGGUUCUGGCUUUCAGAAGGGUGUAUGAAAGGGGUGCCCCAAACUCACAAGUUCAGGGUUUCACCCUUUUCCCCUGCUGUUUGACAAAGCAAAUGGACCUUUAACUCCUUCCUGCCUUGCCAGUAUCCCUGCCCCUCAUGGCCCCGUGCCUAGAAGGGCAAAGGGCAGGUCAUGGGCCCGUGUGGCACAGGAUGUUUCCCACUGACCCACUGUCAGUGCAUUUUGUUGGAGCUAUGUCCCUGAGUUCAGGGGCUGCUUGGGCAAAGAGGGUUAUUCCUAACACAGCAGGGCUGUGUGGGUGGAGGUGGCUCUGGGUCUCCCUGUGUUUAUGUGACAUUUGGAGCCUGAGGCUGGUUUAAGCCUCAUUUGCCUGUGGGAAAGAAGAGGGUUGUUUCCCACCUUCCCAGCAGAUUUGCCAGUUUCUUUCGUGAUCCAGUGUGCAGCUCAGUUCUUGAUAAAGGACUGUAAAUACUUGCUCAUGUAUAAGAAAUACCUCCCUGUGUCCAUAAAUGUAGGAGAGAAGCGGUGAAGAGCUGGGGGAGCACAGUCCCCGGGAUGCAUGGACAGAACAGGGAGCAGGCACCGUGUGCUGGCAGGGAGAGGAGGACAGGGUGCUGGGAGCCAGACCUGCAGGGGUUAGGGAGUGAUCUGGUCCUCAUCAAACCUUCCUUACAUCCCCCAAACCUUCAGUCUUCAGCUGUCCCCCCUCCUUCCUCCCCUAGUAGCGAACAGCCUUGUGCAGUAGGACCUGUGGAUGGAGAUAUCCCAAAAAGGGAAAGCUAGGAUCCUCUAGGAAUUCCCAUCAACGUGCCAAAUACAAAAUACCGAAACAACCCCCUCUCAGCAACAGACUAAAUAUGGUGUAUACCCAAAGGAUCAGAGCACAGGCCUGAGUGAAAUUAUGUCUCUUGACAUCAACAGCCCUCUCUUCUUUGGAAAAUAAACCAUCCUGGGGAAGAUGGAUGGGGCUCAUACAGGUCUAAUCAUCCUAAAAAAAUACUUAUGAGGGGAGGCUGGGCUAAAAACCUCUGCUGUCACUGGGUCAGGAACUUGCAGGUGUGAUAGACCUGUAGCCCCUUCUAGUUCUGCCCAGUGGUGAAAAAAUUUGGACAAAGAGGAGAGAGGGAAAGAGCCCUGGGGUUUCUACCCUGCAACAUUUCGGAAAUAUCAGAUACAGGGUCAAGUUUGGGCCUCAGCUGGAGAAGGCCAGAUUUUCCAGGGCAGUGACACAGUGCCAGAGGUCACAGACUGUCCUGCUACAGGGAGGGUUGGUGUCUGCAGUGGUGUGGGGCUGCCAUGGAGCCAUGCAGAGCUUUCCAGGACCCUGCAGCACCAUAUCAGACUUGUGCAUGUGUGACUUUGUUGGAGCAAAGCCAAGGGAAAUUAUCACCAUGACAUAAAUCCAAGAAACUUGUCCUUGUUAGCAGAAAGUUUGUCACAGGGCAGGGUCGUUCACCCUAUUUUACUUUUUUCCCUGCAGUUUCUUGAUUGCAAACUUAGCUUUUAAUUAGAAACACAAUGAAAUGCAAGGGAAUCCUCUGAAAAGUAUGAUCAUUUUAACAUUCAUCAAAGUUAUCCUAAGAAGUUCCUUUUAAACACAUGCAGCUGUUUCACAAAACCAGACACAUUAAAAUAGUAGCUUAAAAAGGAGUGGAAAUUAUUCUGGCUGGUCUGCAAACCACUGCACACGCAGGCUUGCUGCCCGAGGAGGGUGUUUAACAGCAGCAGUGCUGGAGGGUGAUAUAUGAUGUGACAUUAAAUGGAGCUGGAAAGUCUAAAAAAAUACUAGUGCUGGGACUGAAAGAGUUGCACUCUCAAGCCACGUGGGGUAGCAACUGUUAAAUGUAAGCAUGGCUUCCAACCUUCACUUAAAAGUUAAUGUAAGAAUAUACUAAUCUGAUAGCCUGGUUGGGGGUUCCUGAAUGUUGGGGUGUUUGUUUUAAACCAAAGUUGCCUCAAAAUGAAAGCUGUGGAUUCCCAGUGGAUGAUGAGUUUGUGACAAAAAAAUAAGCUUUGUUUAAAUCCCCUUGAUUUGUUUAUUUAUGUAGUACUUUUCUAGAAAAAAAUAAAGUAUUGGGCAGCUUGCCCUUAAAUAUCUCCUGACUGAAUUUGCACUGUAAAUAUUGUGCUUGGGGAAAAGAAAGAGGACCCAAGAAGGAAAGAAGUGAACUUUUUGCUGCCUUACCAUGGUGUAACCUGAACACAACAGAGGGGAAAAACCAAAAGCACAGAUGGUGAUGUUAGUUUGUUAAAUAAUGUGUCAGGUAAGCAAUUUCUGUUUUGUUUAAAAAUGUUUUUGCUUAAGUUUUACCAACCAUGUUUCUCUAACAUGACAAAUAUAAUUAGAACUGGUAAUUAUACUGGUGGAUUACCACCUGUGUCAAGCUGUGCCCUUACAACCGGAGGGACAGUCUGUGACCAAGCCAGGACAAUCAAUCUUGAGGCAGUCUGAUGAGGGAAAACACUCGCCAGCUGCUUGAUGUUAAGGUUUGUGCUCAACACCGGCUGCAGGUGGUCGGGUGAAGUCAGUGAAGGGUGCAGGUCAGGUCUGAAUCAGCUGCUACUGAAAGGGUCUCUUUGCAAGUGUGAACAAACCUUUCGGGGUUUCUUUUCCUAAAGGUGAUCACCCAAGGAUAAUCACUCCUCCGGAAAACUGAUCCAGUGACACCGAGAUUGGUGCUCAGGAAGGAAAAAGUAACCGACUCCUCACAGUGAGCUGAUAAAGCUUUAAAAAAUCUCUCCUGUGCAGGACAGAAACUAAAACCUCUGGAACAGCAUGGCUGCCCUGGAGCCUAGAGACACAGUUUUCUCUCAUUUGAGAAGAGAGCAAAAAUUUGGUCUUAAAGAACUUUUUAUUUUUAAAACUUGUGGGUUAAGUUCUUCCAAAGAGCUUUCCAGAUCUGAUAUCCACACCAGACUUCACUGGCUCCUAGUCACCUUCACUUGUGAUAAUGUGCUUAGACAACAAACAGCCUCUUUUAAUGGAAUUCCCUCCGUAAAGCUCUUAGUUCAUGUUCUGUCUCCAAGAAAAUUCACAAAUGCAUUUUGCUAUUUAAAGACCCUAAACUUCUAUAUGCUCGUAUCUUUCUUUUUUAAAUUUUCAGUUGUCAGUAGAAAGAAUAAGGGCAGUUAAUGCAAGACAUCCCAGGCUGUAAUUAUUAUGCAAUUACGCAGCUUCUGAAAUUGAGAAACUAAUUUUUGUGUAUGCUCACCUAGGUGGCAAUUUCUUCUAAAACCUGAACCUGUGGCUCUAGGACUGUGACAUAUUUUGAUCUAAAUAUUUAUCUCACCUUAAAAUUUUAAGGAAUGCUAAGUGCAUCCAUAUGGCAAAGAUUUUGCAAUUCCUCUUCACCUGGUAACAAGGCAGGCAGUCUGACAUUCAGAGGACUUGCUGUUUGUCAUCAUCGUGAAAGAUACGCUCAUGUUUCAUGUACUGUCAAGAUAAAUGGUAGGCCAAUAAUAAUAUGAUUAGACCAGUAUAUUUUCAUAGACGUAUUUCAAAGCUUUGUUGUUAAUAAAUAUCACUGGAAAAACA
Molecule: long non-coding RNA, 8958 nt
Organism: Corvus hawaiiensis (hawaiian crow)
Lineage: Eukaryota; Metazoa; Chordata; Aves; Passeriformes; Corvidae
Exons: 6
Source: RefSeq, a predicted model, not a curated record